Oreochromis niloticus (Nile tilapia) is the source of this 3374-nucleotide long non-coding RNA. RefSeq lists it as uncharacterized. NCBI's taxonomy places the organism in Eukaryota, Metazoa, Chordata, Actinopteri, Cichliformes, Cichlidae. The record is from RefSeq and is a predicted model, not a curated record. The transcript is spliced from 5 exons.
CAUAAAAACUCUGAAGCAUGUACAAACUCCGAAGCACGUACAAAACACAACAGCAGUGCUCCAGGAUGCUAGGCUCAGUGAGCAGAGUGAAGCUGACCCCCCACCCAUUUGAAACGUAAAGGCAAAUAGGCGGAGCGGUUAGUGCUACGUUUGUGCAGAUUUGUGCAGUUAAAAUGAGCGUUUGUGCUGCUACGGUUUUUGAGUUAUUAAACAUUAUUUUAUAGGUCAUUCAAAGGUCACCAUCCCCCCAGACUGCUCCAAAACGGGCCAAAAUGGUCUACUUUUUUAGUGCUACGUUUGUGCUGAUUUGUGCAGGUAAAAGUUUGUGCUGCUAUGGUUUCUGAGAUAUAAUGAUUUUAAUUAUUACGGCCUACGCUGUAUAACACCAGUGUCUGUGGCAGUGAGUUUCAGCAGCUGUGGAAUUUUGCACUUUUAUAGAAGACUGUCCACUUUUUCUAGGCUUGCUGCAUAUUAACUUUAAUUAGUUUACACUUUAGUAACACAAUUUAUUCAGCGGAAAGGUCGAUAUGUCUUUUGUUACCAGUGCAGAAACGUACACAAGGUAGGCUAAAGUUUUUAUUUUUUCUGUGGCAAAACUGAGUUUCAUUUGAAGUGAUUCACAUAUACCUAAAUUAUUAUUAUUUUUACAUACCCAGUUGGCCUCUAUGAUUUUGUUUUGAAUUAUAUAUGUUCAUUAUUAUUAAUGUAGCUCUCUCAGAAAAAAUGAAGUGUUUGCUUUGAUAGGUUGUUACCUACGUGUAGAAAACUGAAUAUUCCACAGCACCUAGGCCAGGGAUGUUCAACCUGCGGCUCUAAAGCCACAUGUGGCUCUCCGGCCCCUCCACUGUGGCUCUUAUAAGACCAAGCUCUAGACAGAUUUUGUAGCAGCAGGGGAAAAGGGGCCCUUUGAACUGAAAAGGAUGCUGACCCCUGACUUAAGCCACCAGGUCAAGACACAACAAAUACAGAAAAAUUAUUGACAGAAAAAUGGAACGGUUACUUUCAAGGCUACAGGUGAAGGUGAAUGGGUGUGUAAAAGCAAAUAUGCAUCAGACUGACAAAGAAAACAGUGUUAAAUGAUUUUUAAUUUAGAACUUUAACUUUAUGUGCAAAACUGAACUUACUGAUAACACACACUAGACAUUCAAACACAUGUAACUGUAAUGAACCAAAUAAAACAGAAAAAUGCAGGCAGCACUCAUUAUACCGUGUAUAACGCAGCAUGGGGUUGUAUUUUUUUCUUUUCAGAUGCUCCUGUCACUCCAUUUCCCAGGUCAUCAUAGCACUCCCACACACACGGAGCUCUCCUGCAGUAUGCAGUGUAAUGGCCCAAACCACCAGUGGUCAUCUUUCCAUGGAAAGCAAUUAAUGCCCUCAAAGUGAACGACUUUCCUUGGAGAACCAGGUUGGAGGGAAAUUCGUUCAGGGGAAAUUCUGUUUGGUUUGCAAGAUGGAUUGGAGAGUGGCCUGAGGCAGGUAGACUCAGGUAGGCCAAGUCCUGCUUCCACAGCCGUGCCAAGAUGAGCCAUACCAGACUCUUUGAGGACAGAGAUGGCAGGAGAAACAAAUGGCACUUCCCUUGUCAUCCCUUUGCUGAGGUAGCAGUGCUGUGAAGAGCAGUGUUUGGUUUGUUGGGUCACACCAUCUGUGGCAAUGGCUUUCACCAGCUGCAGGACUGGGUUUUCACUGUCUUUCAGAACAGCAUUUUGAAAUGUUGAGCUGUCACAGAAGGCACAACAUAAGCACUGAAAAAAUGCAUCAAAAGCACAGUUUCAUCUGCAUGGAGCCAUUCGGUACAUGAAGAGUGUCACAGUCUGGCGGGGGCAGACUGUAUGAAUUGAAAAAAGGACCCAAAUGCAGACUCCAAGGAACAGGGAGCAAAACGUGAAUGAUAACAAAAAGAGAGCCAUUUAAUGAGGCUGGUAAAAGGUACAAACAAAAGGCAAGGCAAACUGAAGCAAAAUUAACACAAACCUAAACUGGGAAAUCUAAACAAACAAUAAGAAAAACCUAGACAAGAAACUUGGAGGCGAGGCAUGGCAUGGCAAACAUGGCGUGGACAACAGACGACCUGACAAGGGCCGUUUAUCAAUGCCCAAGUACGCGAGUACGUACUCGUGUUCUCGGUGAGUCGAGCCGAAAGAGCCAGUUCUCUAAAAAGAGCCGGAAAUCCCAUCACUACUCGUUAGUACAGUUUAGAUCGUGUGUUGUUUCUAAUGCCCUUUCAGAUAGCUUCUCACUCCUUUUUUUGUCUUUUGCACCAGGAAGUGGAGAGGAAAACACAGGAGCUGAAUCACGAGUGGGGAAUUAAUGCACGGAGUGUCGCCUGCCUUCACAUCGCCAAACUGCACUUUCGGAGCCGGGAGAAUUCACCACGGGGAGCCACGGCCAAAGGAUUUCACACUGAAUUGUUAUUAUUUUGCACUGUAAAUAAAUUCACUGUCUCUUUGCAAGUGGAGAUCUGCGUUCGAGUCCGCUCCAUCCACACUCCAUGACACAUUCAGUAAUGGUCGGACACUUUUCGUCCUUUGAACUACAGCUGGUUAGAGUUGGAAAUGAAGAUCCGCUUUAUCGUCCACCUGGUAUCAAUAGCCUGUUUUUAACCCUGAUGCUCCCGCCAGGGGGAGCGGCGGGGUCGGGGGAUGCAGGUCCCCCUGCGGAGGGAGGAAGGCGGUUGGGGUCGCGAGAUCCCCCCUCGGGAAGGGGAUGGGAGGAGGGAAUAUGCGGGGGUCUCGAGAUCCCCCGAGGGCAUGGGAGACAAAGAAGAGAGAGAGAGAUGGGCGGAGGGGGUCGAGAAAGCGCAGCAUGUCGCAUGCCGAAAUGAUAAGAGUGUGGAUGGCGGGUACUAAGCGUGUCGGGGUUUGGUUACAGAGGCGGUGUCCCAGCGCGCGCCGUACAACAACAACAACAACAACAAGGUGCCACCGAGAGAGAAGAAGACAAAGACAAUGUCACGCACUAGACCGUGGGACCCAAAGAGCACUAAGGUCGGCACGGGUGGAUCGCUUUCGCCGGCGGUGUCAUCGUCCUCCUCCUCCUCCUCCUCCUCCUCCUGCUCGCCAUCACCGUCGCCAUUGCGUUUGGCGUACGCGGGGUGGGCUCCGGUCGCUCCAUUGCUGCGACCGGCCACGUUUCACUAUGGCGGUCUAGGGGUCGAGGAAGACCAAGAGCAGCAGCAGCAGCACGAGAACUCUGAGGAGGAGGAAGAGGAAGAGGCCGAGGAGGAUAACGACUCGACAGCCCGAACGCUCGCAGAGGAGGAUCGCUGCUCGGAGGAGCAGGAGGGCGAAAACAACGCGGACCGUGAGUUCCCUGGCCAUGUGCGCAGCCUACGCGAGCAGGCUCAAGAGAAAGAGAUUCAGUUGCAACUAUGC